Molecule: unclassified non-coding RNA, 266 nt
Filed under: Bombus terrestris (buff-tailed bumblebee)
Lineage: Eukaryota; Metazoa; Arthropoda; Insecta; Hymenoptera; Apidae
Description: misc RNA ENSBTSG00005038599.1
Source: RNAcentral
GCGCUACAGAGUUUCGUAUUAAUAUCUUUAUGAAAAUUGCAGAUUCUACGACCGCAUUUAGUAACCAGAAUGAUCCGACGAUCGUUAUAUGGCGAUGCAAACUGUGAUACUCGAUUUCAAUUCCCAAUUUCUUCAAACGUUCGUCUACUUUGUCGAUCUGUUUUAUCAAGGCCGGCACGUUCUGAAUAAUAAACGAGUAAAAACAAAAGUAAUCGAGUUAUUAAAUUUGCGUGAAAAUUUCAUUACUAUAUAAUUAAAAGAAGAUC